UGGAAUUUGGAAACUGCUAAAAGCAGUCGACGCGAAACAUCGCGAAUGGCGCGAAUCGUGGCUCGGACAACUUAGGAAAACUCAGGUAAUUGACUCCGAUUUUAGAGAGCAAAUCAGGAACGAUCGAGUCUACAUCUGCGAGAAGCAUUUUUCACCCAAAGUUUUCGAGAUAUAUUAAUCAGCUUGGAUCUCAACUUGACUUAAAAAAGAAAGAUGCCUUCAAAACCAACAUCAAACAGCACAAAAUGCA
RNAcentral lists this unclassified non-coding RNA (250 nucleotides) under Stylophora pistillata. Its description in RNAcentral is "uncharacterized LOC111337871, transcript variant X1". The record is from RNAcentral. Lineage: Eukaryota; Metazoa; Cnidaria; Anthozoa; Scleractinia; Pocilloporidae.